UUGCUGAAAGUCAGUGUUAUAUUGGUGAACUGGAUUUUUUCGUAAGAGAGGAAAGGCUGAUACUCUUGAUUGUUGAUGGAAUGGGAGAUACUUUUGUGGUUGAAAUUCAGAGUUGUCUAGAAGGUUGAGUAUGCUGAAUGCAUGCGUGGUUGUGUUAAUCUGACUGUACGGAUAGAGGAUAUCUGCCAACAGUUUAAAGAAGUA
RNAcentral lists this long non-coding RNA (204 nucleotides) under Physcomitrium patens. RNAcentral describes it as "long non-coding RNA (PPAT_LNC000612)". The record is from RNAcentral. Lineage: Eukaryota; Viridiplantae; Streptophyta; Bryopsida; Funariales; Funariaceae.